UCCCUGGUGGCUCAGAGGUUAAAGCAUCUGCCUGCAAUGCGGGAGACCUGGGUUCUAUCCCUGGGUCGGGAA
RNAcentral lists this transfer RNA (72 nucleotides) under Bos taurus (domestic cattle). It matches the Rfam family "tRNA". Rfam says of the family: Transfer RNA (tRNA) molecules are approximately 80 nucleotides in length. Their secondary structure includes four short double-helical elements and three loops (D, anti-codon, and T loops). The record is from Rfam by way of RNAcentral. Lineage: Eukaryota; Metazoa; Chordata; Mammalia; Artiodactyla; Bovidae. RNAcentral also lists the same sequence under 4 other names.